CUGUGGCUAGGAGGGAUGCAAAAGGGGGAACAUGUCCUAUGGGCCAAGCUAGCUGCCCGGCCGCUGCCAAUGGCACUCAUGGUCGAGAUGGAGGCAGGGGAGGGGGAGGAGGAGGGGAAACCGCAGGGGAAGGGGAUGGGGAAGGAGGGGAAACACAAGGGGAGGUGAUGGCGGCGAUAGCAGGCAAGAAAGGAGGUGGGGCCGACCCGAGGAAAAAGAAAGAAGAAGCCAAGAAGC
Molecule: long non-coding RNA, 237 nt
Filed under: Oryza brachyantha (malo sina)
Lineage: Eukaryota; Viridiplantae; Streptophyta; Magnoliopsida; Poales; Poaceae
Description: long non-coding RNA (OBRA_LNC003622)
Source: RNAcentral